Molecule: long non-coding RNA, 3923 nt
Organism: Manihot esculenta (cassava)
Lineage: Eukaryota; Viridiplantae; Streptophyta; Magnoliopsida; Malpighiales; Euphorbiaceae
Exons: 2
Source: RefSeq, a predicted model, not a curated record
UCAAUAAUCAUACUAGUUAUAUUUUAUUAUUAUCAACAUAAUAAUAAAUAACCAGGGAUGAUAAUCAUUAUUAUGUAACAUGCAAACUAAUAAUAAUGAUAAAAACCUCUUUUAUUAAUAACCAAACGACAUACCAAAAAGGCCCAAGAUAAUGACCUAGGGCAUAUACACUAAGAGAUACAUCAAUACAUCAACAGUAGUUCCCACAGUUGUUGCCACCAAAGAAUCCCUUUCUCACUCCAACUAGUCUAUCUCUGCUGAAUUCUGGUUAGAGGUAUUGUUAUGUCAAUUUCCUCUCAAGCUUGAAAUUUUGAUCCACAAAUUAAACACCAGCAGUUACUUUUAAGAGAUACAUCAAUGCAUCAACAGUAAUUCUCACAGUUGUUGCAUUGAUGUAUCUCUUAAAAAUAACUGCUAGUGUUUAAUUUGUGGAUCAAAAUUUCAAGCUUGAGAGGAAAUUGACAUAACAAUACCUCUAACCAGAAUUCAACAGAGAUAGACUAAUUGGAGUGAGAAAGGGGUUAUUUGGUGGCAACAACUGUGAAAACUACUGUUGAUGCAUUGAUGUAUCUCUUAAAAGUAACUGCUGGUGUUUAAUUUGUGGAUAAAAAUUUCAAGCUUGAGAUGAAAUUGACAUAACAAUACCUCUAACCAGAAUUCAGCAGAGAUAGACUAGUUGAAGUGAGAAAGGGAUUCUUUGGUGGCAACAACUGUGAGAACUAGUGAGAAUUACUGUUGAUGCAUUGAUGUAUCUCUUAGUUGGGGAAGCUCUUCGUUGUAGAUUUUCAAAAAUAAAGCAGAAGCAAAGGAGUGUUUGUGGUUGCUAUUCAACUUUUUAACAAAAGCCUCAUAUAUAUAUAUGAUAGAUUUCAAUGAUGAUAAUGAGCUAUUGAAUUCAUUAGUCUAGUUUUUAUUUAUGGAUCAUAGGUUUAAACUCAUACUAUUUAGUAUUUUUUUAAAAAAAAUUUCUGACUAGUUCUUUAAUUGCUUGUUUAUGGUUUUAGCAUUCUUGUAACAUACAUAUUGAUAUAUGGUGAUCUCAUUCUUCUUUUGGAUGAUCUCAUUCUUCUUUUGGAUGGACUCAUACCCUAAGUAAGCGAUCACUUAUGUUUCCUGCUUGCUACUCUAUUUCCUUUGUUGUAUUAUUUGAUAAUUGAAUUUAAAGUUAAUAACUGCAAAAAAUGAUUAUUUAAGAAUAUAUGGGGAACAAGUCUAUCUGCAUAAGGAUGCAAUUGGAUGUUUACGUCAGAGAAGUUGUUUGUUUCUUUUAUUAAUAUGAGAGGUCUAUCUCAUAUUUAUAAAUAGUCUAUAUAAUUUAGAUUGUUAUAUUUGUUUCAUAGAUUUUAGUUUCAUAGAUUUUGAAUAUGAUUCAUCCCCAAAACCAAUUUGUUUUCUUCCACCCUUUAUCUAACAUUAAAAUCAUAUUAUACAGUUUUCCAAUAUCAUUUCAUCAGAAGGUUCAUUUUCCCCUUGAUCUACAUUGAGAUGAAGUUCUUCUUGGAUCUCAUCAAUAUCUUCAUUAUCAUUUUGAUAUUCAACCUCAUUUUCCUCAUUAGAUAUAUUGAUGUAUUUAAAACUAACUGUUGGUGUUUAAUUUGUGGAUCAAAAUUUCAAGCUUGAGUGGAAAUUGAAAUAACAAUACCUCUAACCAGAAUUCAGCAGAGAUAGACUAGUUGAAGUGAGAAAGGGGUUCUUUGGUGGCAACAACUGUGAGAACUAGUGAGAAUUACUGUUGAUGCAUUGAUAUAUCUCUUGGUUGGGAAAGCUCUUCGUUGUAGAUUUUCAAAAUUAAAGCAGAAGCAAAGGAGUGUUUGUGAUUGCUAUCCAACUUUUUAACAAAAGCCUCAUAUAUAUAAUGGAUUUCAAUGAUGAUAAUGAGCUAUUGAGUUCAUUAGUCUAGUUUUUAUUUAUGGGUCAUAGGUUUAAACUCAUACUAUUUAGUAUUUUUUUAAAAAAAUUUCUGACUAGUUCUUUAAUUGCUUGUUUAUGGUUUUAGGAUUCUUGUAACAUGCAUAUUGAUAUGUGGUGAUCUCAUUCUUCUUUUGGAUGGACUCAUACUCUAAGUAAGGGAUCACUUAUGUUUCAUGUUUGCUACUCUAUUUGCUUUGUUGUAUUAUUUGAUAAUUGAUUUUAAAGUUAAUAACUGCAAAAAAUAAUUAUUUAAGAAUAUAUGGGGAACAAGUCUACCUGCAUAAGGAUGUUUACGUCAGAGAAAUUGUUUGUUUCUUUUAGUAAUAUGGGAUGGCCUAUCUCAUACUUAUAAGCAUGGUUUAUUUCUUUUAUUAAUAUGAGAGGCCUAUCUCAUACUUAUAAAUAGUCUAUAUAAUUUAGAUGGUUAUAUUUGUUUAAUAGAUUUUAGUUUCAUAGAUUUUGAAUAUGAUUCAUCCCCAAAACCAAUUUGUUUUCUUCCACACUUUAUCUAACAUUAAAAUCAUAUUAUACUGUUUUCCAAUAUAAUUUCAUCAGAAGGUUCAUUUUCCCCUUGAUCUACAUUGAGAUGAAAUUCUUCUUGGAUCUCAUCAAUAUCUUCAUUAUCAUUUUGAUGUUCAACCUCAUUUUCCUCAUUAUCAUUUUGAUGUUCAAUCUUAUUUUUCUUAUUAGAUAUAUUGAUCUCAUUUUCCUCAUUAGAUAUAUUGAUGUAUUUAAAACUAACUGCUGGUGUUUAAUUUGUGGAUCAAAAUUUCAAGCUUGAGAGGAAAUUGACAUAACAAUACCUCUAACCAGAAUUCAGCAGAGAUAGACUAGUUGAAGUGAGAAAGGGGUUCAUUGGUAGCAACAACUGUGAGAACUAAAUUCAGCAAAGAUAGACUAGUUGGAGUGAGAAAGGGGUUCUUUGGUGGCAACAACUGUGGGAACUACUGUUGAUGCAUUGAUGUAUCUCUUAAAAGUAACCACUGGUGUUUAAUUUGUGGAUAAAAAUUUCAAGCUUGAGAGGAAAUUGACAUAACAAUAUCUAUAACCAGAAUUCAGCAGAGAUAGACUAGUUGAAGUGAGAAAGGGGUUCUUUGGUGGCAAGAACUGUGAGAACUAGUGAGAAUUAUUGUUGAUGCAUUGAUGUAUCUCUUGGUUGGGAAAGCUCUUCGAUGUAGAUUUUCAAAAAUAAAGCAGAAGCAAAAGAGUGUUUGUGGUUGCUAUCCAACUUUUUAACAAAAGCCUCAUACAUAUAAUGGAUUUCAAUGAUGAUAAUGAGUUAUUGAGUUCAUUAGUAUAGUUUUUAUUUAUGGAUCAUAGGUUUAAACUCAUACUAUUUAGUAUUUUUUUAAAAAAAUUUCUGACUAGUUCUUUAAUUGCUUGUUUAUGGUUUUAGGACUCUUGUAACAUGCAAAUUGAUAUGUGGUGAUCUCAUUCUUCUUUUGGAUGGACUCAUAUUUAUUAGCUUUUUAAUUUGUUUUCCUUCUUUAAUUCUAAUUCUUGGACCUAUUAGGCUUCCCUAAAUAAGAGAUAACUUAUGUUUCCUGUUUGCUACUCUAUUUGCUUUGUUGUAUUAUUUGAUAAUUAAUUUUAAAGUUAAUAACUGCAAAAAAAUGAUUAUUUAAGAAUAUAUGGGGAAUAAAUCUACCUCUAUAAGGAUGCAAUUGAAUGUUUACGUCAGAGAAAUGGUUUGUUUCUUUUAGUAAUAUGGGAUGGCCUAUCUCAUACUUAUAAGCAUAGUUUGUUUCUUUUAUUAAUAUGAGAGACCUAUCUCAUACUUAUAAGUAGUCUAUAUAAUUUAGAUGGUUAUAUUUUCUUAUUGAUUUAUAUUCAAAUUAUUAUUGAUAUAUUUAUAAUGUAAUUUUAUUUUGUUGUAUUAAAAAUUUGUCUAUCACUCAUUUAUUCAAAAAAUUUUUUUUACUAGAAAUUUCAUUUUCUUUUAAAUUUCUUGUUGAUUUAUUUAAACUAAUAUUUUUCAAAGCUUUUAAAAAGAAUUUAUAUAAAAUUUCUUU